RNAcentral lists this ribosomal RNA (483 nucleotides) under uncultured bacterium. Its description in RNAcentral is "partial 16S ribosomal RNA". It matches the Rfam family "Bacterial small subunit ribosomal RNA", at positions 30 to 507 of the family's 1533-position model. The record is from RNAcentral.
AUUGAACGCUGGCGGCAGGCCUAACACAUGCAAGUCGAGCGGAUGAAGGGAGCUUGCUCCUGGAUUCAGCUGCGGACGGGUGAGUAAUGCCUAGGAAUCUGCCUGGUAGUGGGGGAUAACGUCCGGAAACGGGCGCUAAUACCGCAUACGUCCUGAGGGAGAAAGUGGGGAUCUUAUGACCUCACGUCAUCAUAUUAACCCUGGUCGGAUUAGCUUGUUGGUGGAGUAAAGGCCUAACAAGGCGACGAUACGUAACCGGUCUGAGAGGAGGAUCCGUCACACUGGAAAUGAGAAACGGUUCAGGCUACUACGGGAAGCAGCAGUGGGGAAUAUUGGACAAUGGGCCGAAGCCUGAUCCAGCCAUGCCGCGUGUGUGAAGAAGGUCUUCUGAUUGUAAAGCACUUUAAGUUGGGAGGAAGGGCAGUAAGUUAAUACCUUGCUGUUUUGACGUUACCAACAGAAUAAGCACCGGCUAACUUCGUG